This is a long non-coding RNA of Marmota monax (woodchuck), 1679 nucleotides long. RefSeq lists it as uncharacterized. The transcript has 6 exons. Lineage: Eukaryota; Metazoa; Chordata; Mammalia; Rodentia; Sciuridae. The record is from RefSeq and is a predicted model, not a curated record.
GCACCAGCUCAGCUCAGGGCCCCUCCUCUCCCGGCCCCCUGUGGAACACCAGGACAGGAGCUUUUCCCUGUUGGUCACGUCUGCUCCUCGACGUUUUGGAAGAUGGCUGGCCACGUUCCUGUCAAGCUGGCUGAGACUCUGUCCCUUCUGGGGCCUGUGUAAGUCAGAGAAACCUUAGGGACACUGAGUUAAGUCUCAGGGAGUGGCCGGCGUCCCCAGUGGGUGUGGCUUUGAGCACAGCACAGGCCGGUGGAAGCAGAGAGGGCGGCAAGGCCAGCGCUGGCCUCGGGCCUUUCUGUCUGGCUCCCAUGGGGCCUUUUAAGUGGGUUUUGCCAGUUUUAAAAACCAGGAGAUUCAUAUAAAAAUGCUGCCCUCUUCCAAAAGCCAAGGCUCCGGGCCCUUUUGCCUCACAGUUGGCCAAGCUGAGCCACGGGACGUGCCCUCCAGGGUGCCACAGCCCCCCCAUCCCGUGCACCCCGGGGGCUGGCCUGGCCCUGCCCACACUCUCACACAACCCAGCCAGGGCUGCUGGGAUGGCAGGGAGCAGCUGUCCAGUGCAGACAGGAGCUGUGGGGUGACCCCGUGUCCCCAAGUGCACAGAGGGAGCAGAGGACAGCUGGCCCAGGACCAAGGAGCGUCUCCAUGACGACCACAUGACUGAUCAGCCAGUCCAGGCUGAAGGACAGAUGCCGACCAACUGCUAGCUUGGAGGGAGGGGCCCCGAGGACCCUGGUGGUCCCUGCUGUCACCUGGUGCCUGGCCCUCAGUGAGGUCACCAUGAUGUCAACCUCCCCUGCGCUGCUGGGAAAUGACACUGACGAGAUGAUGUGGCCUGGCCACACACAGCACUUUGUGAAGGUCAGCGACGCCCUACCCUCAAAGAAAUCGGGAACAGAGGCUCUAGUAAGAAGAUGCUACUAUCCGGUCAAGAGUGUCCGCAUCAGACUUCUGAGCUGACCACAGCAGGUCAGGCCUCGGGUCCUCACAUGCUUCUCCUGAACAGGAAGACCUGGGACGUGGAGGUCGUGUUUGGGCGUGGCCAAGAUCCCUGGAGCCAAGUCCUGCUGCCCCUCCAAACAGGGCCCACGACACCCACUUUGCCACAGUCCCCACUCCUCUCUAUUGUCCCACACCUGAGAGGAGACAAGAGGGCGAGUGUGCACACAGAGGUGCGCCAGUGUGGACAGACCCCAGCUCCAGCAGGUACAAUGGCAGACGAGACAGGGCCAGCCUCUCUACACCACCAGCCAAGGAGGACACCCGCAUGGUGACGUCGGCAUGAGAAGAAAAUAACAAUGCGAUGUCCAAGAGCGUUUGGAGCCAGGGCCAGGGACACGAGUUCCCAGCAGAUGCGUCUGUGGCCCCACUUUGAUCUGUGCUCCUGGAGUCUGUGACGCGCCCCACCCCAGAGCUGCUCAGGACUCAGGGAGCUCAUCCCUGGGCGCAUGUCCACGAGCACCUGCCUGUGCGGCAAGGCCCUGGGCAGGGGCUAGACGCUAAGCAAAGGACAGAUGGACGCCACUGCUCUCUCGGAAUGCAGUGUACUCAGGUGAGGAAACGAGGCCCAGAGAAGUUAACGUCACUGCCCAGAGACACCCAGCCAGGAGUGUGGGGGCACGCCCGAGCAGGUCCACCUGGAUUCCAGGCUCUCCCAGGCUGCAGUGAGUGAAUUCCCGAGU